RNAcentral lists this ribosomal RNA (433 nucleotides) under uncultured bacterium. RNAcentral describes it as "partial 16S ribosomal RNA". It matches the Rfam family "Bacterial small subunit ribosomal RNA", at positions 29 to 507 of the family's 1533-position model. The record is from RNAcentral.
AACGAACGCUGGCGGCAGGCCUAACACAUGCAAGUCGAGCGCGCCCUUCGUGGUAAGCGGCUGACGGGUGAGUAACGCGUGGGAACGUGCCCUUCUCUGCGGAAUAGCCUCUUGUAAUUGAGAGUAAUACCGCAUACGCCCCUUUGGGGAAAGAUUUAACGUAGAAGUAUCGGCCCGCGUGGUAUUAGGCUGUUGGUGGGGUAAUGGCCCACCACGCCGACGAUCGAUAGCUGGUUUGAGAGGAUGCUCAGCCACACUGGGACUGAGACACGGCCCAGAAUACUAGGGGAGGCAGGAGUGGGGGAUCUAAGACAAUGGGGGCAACGAAGAACGAGCCAGGGUGGGUGAGUGAUGAAGGCGUGAGGGUAGUAAAGCUCGUUAAGAUGGGAAGAUAAUGACGGUACCAGCAGAAGAAGCACCGGCUAACUCCGUG